Solanum stenotomum is the source of this 2112-nucleotide RNA transcript. It is a transcript of the gene named transmembrane 9 superfamily member 2-like, with no coding region annotated. NCBI's taxonomy places the organism in Eukaryota, Viridiplantae, Streptophyta, Magnoliopsida, Solanales, Solanaceae. The transcript has 8 exons. The record is from RefSeq and is a predicted model, not a curated record.
UUCACUUAUGAAGUAUUUCAAUUGGUCCAUCAAAAUUUAAAUUCCACUUGGUGUGGUUGACCUUAGCACGGCGCUUCAAAGUAUUGAUGUGAAGACUAGAGAGUAGGGGAUCCCUUCAAUCUGUCGUUGUUCCUCUCUGCAAUUGCUCUUUGGAGACUCUUCCCCCCCUCUCUCUCCAAAGAAGAAUGGAGAAACCUGUGGUAAUACUCAUUUUUACAACUGUAAUUAUGAUGAGUCUUGAAUGCUUAGUACAAUCAGAUGCCUCUACACAUCGGUAUAAAAGUGGAGAUGAUGUCCCUUUCUAUGCAAACAAGGUUGGCCCAUUCUCUAAUCCCAGUGAAACUUAUGCUUAUUUCGAUCUUCCAUUUUGUCAACCAGAUAAUUUGGAAAAGAAGAAAGAAUCGUUUGGUGAAGCGUUGAAUGGAGAUCGCCUUACAUUUGCUCCAUAUAAGCUCGAGUUUUUAGCGGACAAAGAUGCCAAAGUUAUAUGUAAGAAAAGGCUGACAAAGGAGGAAGUUGCACAAUUCAGAACCACUGUUGCACUAGAUUACUACGUCCAGAUGUACUAUGAUGACUUGCCAAUAUGGGCGUUCCUUGGGAUGGUCGAAAAGGACGGAAUUGAUGACCCUAAUGAGUACAGAUAUCACAUUUAUACAUUUUAUCAAUUUGAAAUUUACUACCACAAGGACCAUGUUAUUGAAAUCCAAGUUAGAGUCGAUCCAUCUUUUACAGUUGAUGUAACAAAUGAUGAGGAAGUUGAUGUAGAAUUCCUGUACACAGUGGUGUGGAAGGAAACUAACACCCCAUUUGAAAAGAGAAUGGACAAAUACACAAGCUCUUCUUCUCUGCCCCAUCACUUAGAAAUUCACUGGUUCUCCAUUUUAAACUCAUGUGUGACAAUCUUCAUCUUGAUGUCAUGUAUGGGAGCAAUUUACUUGCGAGUCCUGAGGAAAGAUAUUUAUAAUCUUGCACAGGAUGAAGAAUUUUCUGAUAACCAAGAAGAAUGGAACCCAGAUGUUGGCAGUGUCAGUAAUUGUUGAUAUCAUCUUGUUUAAAUAAUGCUUUCUUCAGCACUUGGUUGUGGAACCCAGAUGUUGGCAGUCGUGGUGGUCAUUCUAUGUUUAGGCGUGCUUGGUGUUUUUCAACCGUAUGAUCGAGGAGUUUUGCCCACUGCUUUGGUCAUAAUAUAUGCAAUAACUUCUGCAGUUGCUGGAUUUUCGGCUGCAUCUUUUUAUCAUCAGCUUGAAGGAAGCAACUCGCUAAGAGUUCUAUUACUGACAGGAGGAAUAUUCUCUUGCCCCUUGUUGCUAACCUUUUUCUUCCUUAAUACUGUUGCAUUCAACUAUGGGUCUACUGCAACACUUCCUUUGGGCACAAUUGUGGUUAUACUUCUCCUCUUGGUUUUGCUAGCAUUACCGUCGCUUGUGUUAGGUGCGAUUUCUGGGAAGAGAAUAAGGUCGGAGUUUCAAGCUCCUUGUCACACCACAAAGUGUCCUCGUGAGGUUCCCCCACAGCGUUGGUACAGGCGUGUCAUAACCCAAAUGGCAAUGUCAGGACUUUUGUCUUUUGCUGUCAUCUAUAUUCAGCUAUAUUACAUAUUUGCAAGUGUUUGGGGUCACAGGAUAUACACAAUAUAUAGCAUUCUUUUUGUUGUGUUCAUUCUCCUUCUGAUUACAACUGCUCUCAUCUCUAUUGCUAUGACAUACAUCCAACUUGCCGCAGAAGAUCAUGAAUGGUGGUGGAGGUCUUUUCUUUGUGGUGGAUCGACUGGCUUGUACUUAUUUGGUUAUUCCAUCUACUAUUACUUUUCACAGUCAGACAUGAACGGUUUCAUGCAAACCUCAUUCUUCUUUGGAUAUAUGGCUUGUGUUAGUUAUGGCGUCUUCCUCAUGCUAGGCACUGUUGGCUUUCAUGCCUGUUUGCUAUUUGUCCGUCUUCUGUAUGGCUGUAUCAAAUGUGAAUAGCUGGUUGCUUUCAGGAACAUCCUUUGGAGUAAGUAUGUAUUCAUGCCAUAUUUAGGAGGCUGUUCUGAUCAAAGGAGGUCACAAUGUUCCUUUAAUGUAACAACAAAGAGAUUUUCUUAUUCAAAGUUUCAUCAAUGUUACUUUUUGU